Molecule: ribosomal RNA, 438 nt
Filed under: uncultured bacterium
Lineage: Bacteria
Description: partial 16S ribosomal RNA
Rfam family: Bacterial small subunit ribosomal RNA
Source: RNAcentral
CUACGGGGUGCUCCAGUGGGGAAUAUUGCACAAUGGGGGGAACCCUGAUGCAGCAACGCCGCGUGGAGGAUGACGCAUUUCGGUGUGUAACUCCUUUUAUAUGUCAAGAAAAUGACGGUAGCAUAUGAAUAAGCACCGGCUAACUCCGUGCCAGCAGCCGCGGUAAUACGGAGGGUGCAAGCGUUACUCGGAAUCACUGGGCGUAAAGGACGCGUAGGCGGGUUGGAAAGUCAGGUGUGAAAUCCUACAGCUUAACUGUAGAACUGCACUUGAAACUUCUAAUCUAGAGUAUGGGAGGGGGAGAUGGAAUUAGUGGUGUAGGGGUAAAAUCCGUAGAUAUCACUAGGAAUACCUAAAGCGAAGGCGAUCUCCUGGAACAUUACUGACGCUAAGGCGUGAAAGCGUGGGGAGCAAACAGGAUUAGAUACCCCGGUAGUC